GGGCAGGAAACGAGACCCAGGGCAACCCCCUCCGCUGCGGCGGAACAAAGGAGGCGAGCGCAGCUGCACGCGCAGGGAGGCCCACAGCGUCCCGGGCCCCUCCUCCCCCGCCGCCGCCGGGGCACACCGCACCUGAACCCCACUCCCCAGGACGCCCCAUUGUUCUCCCUCCGCUUUCCUGCCCGGAGGAAGCCACACCGUGUCUUUCCAGGGGGCCAGGAAACAGCUGUGGGCCAGAGGAAUGGAGGGGCUGUGGGUGAACACGAGGACAGCCGAGAUUCGACUCUGCCCACAGACUCACUGACAUAAAAUGAGAAAUACAACAUUUGACAACUCGAAGCCAGCCUGGGGUCACAUUCCGGCAAACAGUGGGAACCAGCAAAGCCAAGGACAGAGAGGUCUUCAGGGAAUACAUGGCUAUGGUGGUUUGAAGACUCCCAUUAGAGAGUGGAUAUUAAUUGCCCUCCUUUUGAAUAUGGUCUGGACUUAGUGAUUUGAUUGUAACAAAUAGAAUACAGCAGAUGUGAUGCUAUGUGACUUCCAAACCUAGGUCAUAAAAGGAGAUGAAGUUUUCACCUGGCUCUCCCUUGGGACACUCACCCUUGGAACCCAGCUGCCAUAUUGUGAGGAAGCUCAAGCCACAGGGAAGGCCAUGUGUAGGUGUUUGGGCUGAUGGUGCCAGCUGAGGACCUGGUCUACUGCCAGUACAACUUAUAUCAAGCAUGUGAGUUGGCGAGCUUUUGAAAGAACUCCAGCCACAGUCACUGACCACGCUGCCUGAGAGACCUAGAGAGAAAACCUAGCUGAGCCAAAUCAGGCCCCGGAAACGUAAGUGAUAAUAAUAAAAGAUUGUCAUCUGGGUGGUUGUUACAUAGCAAUAGACACCUAGAACAGUGACAGAGCUGGAAUUUGAACCCAGAUAGUCUGACUCUAUAGUCUUCACUAUCAAGCACACUACCUCAGACCUUGAUAACCUAGCAUAAUGAAAACCCUGGAGAUCCCAGCCUUCACAAUAGGCAACAUAUGAACCUGCUACCUGGUGACGUGUGUUAGACUCACUUCUCCAUUUUGCUUGUCUGAGUUUAGGUUCCCAAGUGACUGCUUAUAGCAGUUUGGCAGUUCAUGGAACUUCUGACCUCUACUGUCCAGUUCAGCUUUUCAAAAAUAGCAGAAAUGCAGAUGGCAGGUUCAUGAAUAUAAGAUGUAUACAAAUUGAAGAGUGGGGGAAUUCUAUAAACUUUUGAUCUUGGAAGGUGGCCAGAUUUUAGAAAAAGUAGGUUUGAGACAACUAUGUGCUGAGUAGGUCUAUCAAAAUAGCUAGCUACUAGAAGUAAAGUUUUGAAACUCCUGACUCAAGAAAGGGAUAGGACACAGUUAUGUCAGAACAGUUCGGCCUCUAGAAGGACCUCGCAUAGUGAGGACAAUUAAGACUUUCUCCAUGAUUUUAGCAAGUUCAAAAAAGAAAAUAAUAGAAACUGUAGAACUUAUCCUAAUAAACACUAAGAAAAUGAACCAAGUUAUUAGCCAAAAAUAUUUCUAGAGAAAAAUCAUGCUUCUCUUUUAAAAAUACUGUUUACCUAGUUUUCAUAAAUCUCAAAACCCAAGUUUCUGAGGACAUACAGGUUUUAAAACACUUUUACCUUCCUGGCCAUUUUUUUCAAAAACCAAUCAAUCAACAACUUUUGAAAUUAUAAAAAGCAGAUUAAAGUUAUUCCCACAAUUGUCAAGAAUAGAUAAUAGGCUGGGCGCAGUGGCUCACACCUGUAAUCCCAGCACUUUGGGAGGCUGUGGCAGGCGGAUCAUGACGUCAGGAGUUCGAGACCAGCCUGGCCAAUAUGGUGAAAUCCCAUCUCUACUAAAAAUACAAAAAUUAGCCAGGCGUGGUGGCACGCUCCUGUAGUCCCAGCUACUCAGGAGGCUGAGGCAGAAGAAUCACUUGAACCCAGGAGGUGGAGGUUGCAGUGAGCCAAGAUCACGCCAGUGUACUCCAGCCUGGGUGACAGAGCGAGAGUCCAUCUCAAAAAAAAAAAAAAAAAAGAAUAGAUAAUAAAUCCAUCAACUACAAAGGCAUUUUUUACUUUCUCCUCAAUCUAUUUGGAGGAAACAGAAAGAAAUAAAAAGAAGUAGAAAACUAUUAUUGAGAUUUAGGGUGAAAAACAUAAAUUAUCAAAUUACAAGAGUGCAAUAAAAGAAUACAAGAAGUGUGCUUUGCCUCAAUGGAAACAUGCAACAAUUUAAAUUCAUUCAAUUGAAAUCUUGCCAUCCUUGUGGAAAAUACAGAAGUAAAAGCAUAUCUCUAUGUAUCCCAGGAAGGUAAUUACCACUAGGCAUGUAAGACUUAUUUUUUCUUAGUUGGUUUUACUUGAGCCCUUUCAAGAAAAUUAAAAGGAGUUCAACAUUGACAAGAAGACUGACGAAAGAACCAUAUGACUGCCUUUUGGUGUAGCAAACAUAAAAGUGGACUGGAAGUCAUACUUUUAGAUUUUCUCACUGGCUCUGUCUUCAUUCAACUAAGUUUAUGAAGCGGCUCAUACUGUUUGUCCUUAGGUAUUUUACAUCAU
Molecule: long non-coding RNA, 2561 nt
Filed under: Homo sapiens (human)
Lineage: Eukaryota; Metazoa; Chordata; Mammalia; Primates; Hominidae
Description: HSALNT0045025
Source: RNAcentral